UCUCUCUCUGGAUGUGCUGCUGUUGCUGCUGAUGCUCACUUCAUACUUCAUCUACACACGUUUUGCACCUUGUAAGAAAACAAGGAGAGGAGCAUGAAGGAAAAGCAAAGAGAGGUGAAGAAGGCACAGGAGGGAG
Long non-coding RNA from Dicentrarchus labrax (European seabass), 136 nucleotides. RefSeq lists it as uncharacterized. The transcript is spliced from 3 exons. NCBI's taxonomy places the organism in Eukaryota, Metazoa, Chordata, Actinopteri, Moronidae. The record is from RefSeq and is a predicted model, not a curated record.